Long non-coding RNA from Metopolophium dirhodum (rose-grain aphid), 606 nucleotides. RefSeq lists it as uncharacterized. The transcript is spliced from 3 exons. NCBI's taxonomy places the organism in Eukaryota, Metazoa, Arthropoda, Insecta, Hemiptera, Aphididae. The record is from RefSeq and is a predicted model, not a curated record.
UAUCCUAUACUUGUAAAAAUAUUAUCCUAUACUUGAUACUAUUAUUGUCAAUAUGGAAAAACAAUUUUAACCAGAAAGUAUGGAAAUAGCCCAAACUGUAGACAACUUUUUGAAAUUAAACUUUAAUGGAAGUAUACGAAUCAUUAACCACUAGGAUUUAUUUGGUGUUUCCAAAGAUUCUUUAUGAUCAAAAAUGUCUUGAAAGUUAAUAUUGAUUUGGAAGUUCUGCACAAUCACUUAAACUCAUUGAAUAGCAAAUAAAUCUUUCAAAAUGAUUACAAACUAUUUAAUGUAGCAAUAACUUUGUAUGUAAUAUGUAUUUUAUUUGCAUUAUGUUGUAUCGUCAUAUCGCUCCCAUGUGUUAUUGUGCUCUCUCCAAUUAUAACUAACGUAGUGACCAAUUGCUAGUGGAGAUGAAGAUAUUGGAGGGAUAAAUGCAAUUAUGCCUCUUAAAUUGUAGUGUUUACAUUUAUUAAUUAAUAAAUGUGUCGGAAUAUUUUCUAAAGGUACUGAUAUUUCAAAAUUGUUUUUAUUAAUUGGAUUAGAAAAUGAAGCCACGGUUUCAAUUAUUAAUUGCUGUUUUAAAUUAAUCUGUUUUGACCUUGU